GCCGCUAUUUUGCUAAUCGAUAUGAGCCGUGACUUUUUAUGGCCCCCCCCUCAGACAUCGUCUGGAUCCGCCCCUGCUUCCUCUGAACUCGCUCAAUGGCAGUAAGAUGCGUUGCAUAAAUUGGGAACCAAAUCAUGUUAGCGUACUCCAACCUACUGAGAACAAGUGAAAAGUAGACAUUUCUGAGAGCAGACAGAUCGUCUAGCUCACGGAAGCUCCUGAAAGACUUACAGGCAGAUGAACACAGAUCCUCAACAUGUGGAACAAAACUCAGCUCACUGUCAAACCAAACUCCCAGGUCACGAAAGCGAUCUCAAGCCGCAAUAAAAUCACCACCAAUGUGAUAAUCGAAAGCUAGUGGCAGCGUCUUCCUUGUGAAAGUAACUUUAACAUUCCGCAAGCACCAACCUUGAACCAACUCCAAACUUGACUGAAGAAGUAAUUGGUCAUUAAUUCCAUGUAUUCUCAUGAACAGCUUCAGAUCAUCAGCAUAGGUUAGAGCCUCACAAUUGAGAGAGCAUCAAAGGUCAUCAAUGAAUAUUAAAAACAUAAUGAAAUAAGCGAACCUUUCCUUGAUAAAGUGAUUCUAAAGAUCAGUCAGCAAUUUUCCCAUCUAGUGAAGGAUGUUUUGAAAAGCAAAAAUAUCUCAUCCUUGGAGGAGCCUUCAUCGUAUACAUCAGAAACAAUGACCGAUGAGAUGAAGAUUCGAUAACAAAUCAAAUAAGACAUCAUAUACUUAUUUUCAAAGUUACAACCAGUUACAUCAUCAAUUGAUGGCGAAGAAGCUUUAAAUCAGCUUGAAAAGAAUAUUUCUAUUUGAUAUAGAUUCUAUUGUUAAUAUAUUUCUUGUUGUGUUAUGUUGAUAAAAUGAAUAUUUUAAUACUGCU
Long non-coding RNA from Harmonia axyridis, 887 nucleotides. RefSeq lists it as uncharacterized. The transcript has 3 exons. The record is from RefSeq and is a predicted model, not a curated record. Lineage: Eukaryota; Metazoa; Arthropoda; Insecta; Coleoptera; Coccinellidae.